GGCUUAGAGUUUGAUCAUGGCUCAGGACGAACGCUGGCGGCGUGCUUAACACAUGCAAGUCGAACGGGGUGUUUAUUUCGGUAAACACCAAGUGGCGAACGGGUGAGUAACGCGUAAGCAAUCUACCUUCAAGAUGGGGACAACACUUCGAAAGGGGUGCUAAUACCGAAUGAAUGAGAGAUGACCGCAUGGAUAUUUCUCUAAAGGAGGCCUCUGAAAAUGCUUCCGCUUGAAGAUGAGCUUGCGUCUGAUUAGCUAGUUGGUGAGGGUAAAGGCCCACCAAGGCGACGAUCAGUAGCCGGUCUGAGAGGAUGAACGGCCACAUUGGGACUGAGACACGGCCCAGACUCCUACGGGAGGCAGCAGUGGGGAAUCUUCCGCAAUGGGCGAAAGCCUGACGGAGCAACGCCGCGUGAACGAAGAAGGUCUUAGGAUCGUAAAGUUCUGUUGUUAGGGGCGAAGGGUAGCAUUUUGAAUAAGGGUGCUAUUUGACGGUACUUAACGAGGAAGCCACGGCUAACUACGUGCCAGCAGCCGCGGUAAUACGUAGGCGGCAAGCGUUGUCCGGAAUUAUUGGGCGUAAAGGGAGCGCAGGCGGGAAGUUAAGCGGACUUUAAAAGUGCGGGGCUCAACCCCGAGAGGGGGUCCGAACUGACUUUCUUGAGUGCAGGAGAGGGAAGCGGAAUUCCUAGUGUAGCGGUGAAAUGCGUAGAUAUUAGGAAGAACACCAGUGGCGAACGCGGCUUUCUGGACUGUAACUGACGCUGAGCUCGAAAGCUAGGGUAGCGAACGGGAUUAGAUACCCCGGUAGUCCUAGCGUAAACGAUGGAUACUAGUGUGGGAGUAUCGACCCUUCGUGCNAGUACGC
Molecule: ribosomal RNA, 868 nt
Filed under: uncultured bacterium
Lineage: Bacteria
Description: bacterial SSU rRNA
Rfam family: Bacterial small subunit ribosomal RNA
Source: RNAcentral